CCUACGGGGGGCAGCAGUAGGGAAUCUUCGGCAAUGGACGAAAGUCUGACCGAGCAACGCCGCGUGAGUGAAGAAGGUUUUCGGAUCGUAAAACUCUGUUGUUAGAGAAGAACAAGGACGUUAGUAACUGAACGUCCCCUGACGGUAUCUAACCAGAAAGCCACGGCUAACUACGUGCCAGCAGCCGCGGUAAUACGUAGGUGGCAAGCGUUGUCCGGAUUUAUUGGGCGUAAAGCGAGCGCAGGCGGUUUCUUAAGUCUGAUGUGAAAGCCCCCGGCUCAACCGGGGAGGGUCAUUGGAAACUGGGAGACUUGAGUGCAGAAGAGGAGAGUGGAAUUCCAUGUGUAGCGGUGAAAUGCGUAGAUAUAUGGAGGAACACCAGUGGCGAAGGCGGCUCUCUGGUCUGUAACUGACGCUGAGGCUCGAAAGCGUGGGGAGCAAACAGGAUUAGAUACCCUAGUAGUC
Molecule: ribosomal RNA, 465 nt
Filed under: uncultured Enterococcus sp.
Lineage: Bacteria; Bacillati; Bacillota; Bacilli; Lactobacillales; Enterococcaceae
Description: bacterial SSU rRNA
Rfam family: Bacterial small subunit ribosomal RNA
Source: RNAcentral